Molecule: non-coding RNA, 72 nt
Organism: Pichia kudriavzevii
Lineage: Eukaryota; Fungi; Ascomycota; Pichiomycetes; Pichiales; Pichiaceae
Source: Rfam
GCCUCUUUAGCUUAGUGGUAGAGCGUCGCACUUGUAAUGCGGAGGUCGCUAGUUCAAUUCUGGCAAGUGGCA